UACGUAGGGUGCAAGCGUUAUCCGGAAUUAUUGGGCGUAAAGCGCUCGUAGGCGGUUUGUCGCGUCUGCUGUGAAAACUGGGGGCUCAACCCCCAGCCUGCAGUGGGUACGGGCAGGCUAGAGUGCGGUAGGGGAGAUUGGAAUUCCUGGUGUAGAGGUGGAAUGCGCAGAGAUCUGGAGGAACACCAAUGGCGAAGGCAGAUCUCUGGGCCGUUACUGACGCUGAGGAGCGAAAGCGUGGGGAGCAAACAGG
This 253-nucleotide ribosomal RNA is filed under the name uncultured bacterium. Its description in RNAcentral is "partial 16S ribosomal RNA". It matches the Rfam family "Bacterial small subunit ribosomal RNA", at positions 524 to 776 of the family's 1533-position model. The record is from RNAcentral.